UUACGGCCACAUCACAUUGAAACUCCGACUGCCGUACGAUUACCGAAGUUAAGCAACGUCGAUGCUUGGUCAGUACCUUGAUGGGUGACUGCUAGGGAAUAUCAGAUGCUGUAAG
Acanthosepion pharaonis is the source of this 115-nucleotide non-coding RNA. The record is from the annotation of a GenBank genome assembly. Lineage: Eukaryota; Metazoa; Mollusca; Cephalopoda; Sepiida; Sepiidae.